Molecule: ribosomal RNA, 468 nt
Filed under: uncultured bacterium
Lineage: Bacteria
Description: partial 16S ribosomal RNA
Rfam family: Bacterial small subunit ribosomal RNA
Source: RNAcentral
GACGAACGCUGGCGGCGUGCUUAACACAUGCAAGUCGAACGGAAAGGCCCUGCUUUUGUGGGGUGCUCGAGUGGCGAACGGGUGAGUAACACGUGAGUAACCUGCCCUUGACUUUGGGAUAACUUCAGGAAACUGGGGCUAAUACCGGAUAGGAGCUCCUGCUGCAUGGUGGGGGUUGGAAAGUUUCGGCGGUUGGGGAUGGACUCGCGGCUUAUCAGCUUGUUGGUGGGGUAGUGGCUUACCAAGGCUUUGACGGGUAGCCGGCCUGAGAGGGUGACCGGCCACAUUGGGACUGAGAUACGGCCCAGAAUCCUACGGGAGGCAGCAGUGGGAAAUAUUGCACAAUGGGCGGAAGCCUGAUGCAGCAACGCCGCGUGCGGGAUGACGGCCUUCGAGUUGUAAACAGCUUUCGCCUGUGACGAAGCGUGAGUGACGGUAAUGGGUAAAGAAGCACCGGCUAACUACGUG